AAGAACAAAACAAGCGAGAGAGAGAAAGGAGAAAGGAGAAGAAGUUAGGGUUUGGGAGAGAGGAAGAACAGAGAAGACAAACCGCCAUUGGAGAUCGAAUCCAAGGCAAGAAACUUCGAAGCAAUACUUCUCUCAGUGCUGGAAAAGGAGUUUGGGUGGUGGAUUCCCUCAUUCCGGCAAGAAUAUCUGAUAACGGACAAAGUUUCUUGAAGUUCCUGGACGAGAAUCAGACGAAAAUCGUUGUUUAGUCGGACUUCGGGUAAAUCGAUCGAAAGUAGAAAAUGUGAGUUUUUCCAUAUCUUUGGACGACCUUAACUCAUCCUGUGUUCAAG
Long non-coding RNA from Cucurbita maxima (winter squash), 332 nucleotides. RefSeq lists it as uncharacterized. The transcript is spliced from 2 exons. The record is from RefSeq and is a predicted model, not a curated record. NCBI's taxonomy places the organism in Eukaryota, Viridiplantae, Streptophyta, Magnoliopsida, Cucurbitales, Cucurbitaceae.